RNAcentral lists this unclassified non-coding RNA (210 nucleotides) under Athalia rosae (coleseed sawfly). RNAcentral's name for it is "misc RNA ENSAEAG00005005531.1". The record is from RNAcentral. Lineage: Eukaryota; Metazoa; Arthropoda; Insecta; Hymenoptera; Athaliidae.
AAGAAAAAAAAAAAAAAAAAAAUUAAAAAAAAAAAAAAAAAAAAAAAAAAAAAAAAAAAAAAAAAAAAAAAAAAAAAAAAAAAAAAAUUGGAAAAAAAAAAAAAAAAAAAAAAAAAAAAUGUCAAAAAAAAAAAAAAAAAAAAAAAAAAAAAAAAAAAAAAAAAAAAAAAAAAAAAAAAAAAAAAAAAAAAAAAAAAAAAAAAAAAAAUU